This 451-nucleotide ribosomal RNA is filed under the name uncultured bacterium. RNAcentral's name for it is "bacterial SSU rRNA". It matches the Rfam family "Bacterial small subunit ribosomal RNA", at positions 29 to 524 of the family's 1533-position model. The record is from RNAcentral.
AGCGAACGCUGGCGGCAGGCUUAACACAUGCAAGUCGAGCGGGCGUAGCAAUACGUCAGCGGCAGACGGGUGAGUAACGCGUGGGAACAUACCUUUUGGUUCGGAACAACACAGGGAAACUUGUGCUAAUACCGGAUAAGCCCUUACGGGGAAAGAUUUAUCGCCGAAAGAUUGGCCCGCGUCUGAUUAGCUAGUUGGUGAGGUAACGGCUCACCAAGGCGACGAUCAGUAGCUGGCUGAGAGGAUGAUCAGCCACAUUGGGACUGAGACACGGCCCAAACUCCUACGGGAGGCAGCAGUGGGGAAUAUUGGACAAUGGGCGCAAGCCUGAUCCAGCCAUGCCGCGUGAGUGAUGAAGGCCCUAGGGUUGUAAAGCUCUUUUGUGCGGGAAGAUAAUGACGGUACCGCAAGAAUAAGCCCCGGCUAACUUCGUGCCAGCAGCCGCGGUAAC